RNAcentral lists this ribosomal RNA (441 nucleotides) under uncultured bacterium. RNAcentral describes it as "partial 16S ribosomal RNA". It matches the Rfam family "Bacterial small subunit ribosomal RNA", at positions 338 to 795 of the family's 1533-position model. The record is from RNAcentral.
CCUACGGGUGGCAGCAGUUGGGGAUAUUGCACAAUGGGGGGAACCCUGAUGCAGCGACGCCGCGUGGGUGAAGGAGUGCUUCGGCAUGUAAAGCCCUAUCGGCAGGGAAGAAGCAAGACGGUACCUGACUAAGAAGCCCCGGCUAACUACGUUCCAGCAGCCGCAGUAAUACGUAGGGGGCAAGCGUUAGCCGGAUUUACUGGGUGUAAAGGGAGCGUAGGCGGCUGCGCAAGUCAGAAGUGAAAGCCCGGGGCUCAACCCCGUGACUGCUUUGGAAACUGUGUAGCUAGAGUGCUGGAGAGGCAGGCGGAAUUCCUGGUGUAGCGGUGAAAUGCGUAGAUAUUAGGAAGAACACCAGUGGCGAAGGCGGCUUGCUGGACAGUAACUGACGUUGAGGCUCGAAAGCGUGGGGAGCAAACAGGAUUAGAUAUCCGUGUAGUC